ACUGUGGCUGCCCGGGAGAGAGGAACUAAUACAGAUGAGAAAGUUCCCUGAGUUUCAAAACAGAGACUGGAGGCCCCAACUAGUAGACCUGCUGGACACUCAGCCCAGGCUAAGGAUGUGAGCCAUAUGGAAGAAAAUAUGGAAUUGAGAAGUCUAAAUUUCCAUUGCAAAGAUGGUGGAAAGACUCAGAAGAAUGGGCGCAAGUGGAGGCUUUGGAGGAGAGAAGGUGGCCUGGCGGCUGAGAAAGACUUCUGGUGAAAACAGGAAGACGGAUGACUCUCCCACGUCCACUAAAAUGCAGCGGGGGGCGGUGGGGGGGAAAUAAAUCCACAAGUUUCAAGUCAAUGGAAGAGAACUCCCGGGAGAGACUACAUGACUUUGCCUCAGCUGUGAAGAAAAUGAAGGUCACCAGAAAGGAAACCCUAAAUAUGGAUUUAACCAAAUUUUGUGAGAGGGAGGAGUGUGUGGGAGGCAGUGGCUGAUGAAGAGUCCUAGAUCGUGCUUUUCCACAGAAAGGCAAUAGGCAAUAUUUAAAAACCAAAAAAAAUCGAGAAAAACCUGGGUAAGCUUGUAUUUUAAAAAUACGGAGAAAAUACCAGAAAGAAAACAACCUGAAAGAAGAGGCAUCAGAAGUGUAGAGGAGUACAGCAGGGAUUCUUGGUUUUCUUUCCAGUUCUAGCAGUAUUCAGUUUAUUCAGUUUUUCAGUAAUUUAAUUGCUAUUUUUCAUUCAAAUAAAAUUCAAAAAAUUUUAAAAGGAAAGAAAUGGGAAGGAAUAAAAGAGAAAUGCCUCCAAUUUCAGGUUUCUUCCCCCAGUUGGCUCAGCUGGGUUGUUCUGAGGCCUGAGCCAUUCAGAGUUGAAUUAUCUCCACCACACCCUUGGAAGGAGGGAUGAGAGCCCUGCCAGCGUUUUUCUGAAGAAAUAUGACUGAGAUGACAGAAUUCUUUUUGCCUGUUUGAAAGCGGGCAAACUGGGGGUGACCCUGCAGGCUGGGGGAGAGGGGAUGAAGAAGGCUUGUAAAAGUCCUUUUCCAAAGGAAGAAUUUGCAUUUCCUUUGCUCCCUAAGGAUUUCUACUUGCGGUGUUCCCUGACUCCACCCACCAGGUAGACUUGGCCUUGUGGUCUAGGCAGCACAGAAGCUCAACCUGCCCGGGAGCCGGCCCUGUGUGGCACAGGUGCAUGCCCUACAGCAGUGUGGGUACCAGCUCCACCCCGAGUUCCAAGGACACUGGAGGCUGGAGGCCCAGCCUGCAUAGGUGAACCAGGUUUUGA
Long non-coding RNA from Sus scrofa (pig), 1271 nucleotides. RefSeq lists it as uncharacterized. Lineage: Eukaryota; Metazoa; Chordata; Mammalia; Artiodactyla; Suidae. The record is from RefSeq and is a predicted model, not a curated record.